GACGAACGCUGGCGGCGUGCUUAACACAUGCAAGUCGAACGGAAAGGCCCUGCUUUUGUGGGGUGCUCGAGUGGCGAACGGGUGAGUAACACGUGAGUAACCUGCCCUUGACUUUGGGAUAACUUCAGGAAACUGGGGCUAAUCCCGGAUAGGAGCUCCUGCUGCAUGGUGGGGGUUGGAAAGUUUCGGCGGUUGGGGAUGGACUCGCGGCUUAUCAGCUUGUUGGUGGGGUAGUGGCUUACCAAGGCUUUGACGGGUAGCCGGCCUGAGAGGGUGACCGGCGACAUUGGGACUGAGAUACGGACCAGACUCGUACGGGAGGCAGCAGUGGGGAAUAUUGCACAAUGGGCGGAAGUCUGAUGCAGCAACGCCGCGUGCGGGAUGACGGCCUUCGGGUUGUAAACCGCUUUCGCCUGUGACGAAGCGGGAGUGACGGUAAUGAGUAAAGAAGCACCGGCUAACUACGUG
This 468-nucleotide ribosomal RNA is filed under the name uncultured bacterium. Its description in RNAcentral is "partial 16S ribosomal RNA". It matches the Rfam family "Bacterial small subunit ribosomal RNA", at positions 28 to 507 of the family's 1533-position model. The record is from RNAcentral.